RNAcentral lists this ribosomal RNA (253 nucleotides) under uncultured bacterium. RNAcentral describes it as "partial 16S ribosomal RNA". It matches the Rfam family "Bacterial small subunit ribosomal RNA", at positions 524 to 776 of the family's 1533-position model. The record is from RNAcentral.
UACAUGUGGGGCAAGCGUUGUUCGGAAUUACUGGGCAUAAAGGGUGCGUAGGCGGUUUGGUAAGUCAGUGGUGAAAUCGUCCGGCCCAACCGGACACGUGCCAAUGAUACUGCCGAACUCGAGUGCGUGAGGGGUGGGGGGAACGAGCAGUGUAGCGGUGAAAUGCGUAGAUAUUGCUCGGAAGGCCAAAGCCGAAGGGACCCCACUGGUACGUAACUGACACUGAGGCACGAAAGCGUGGGGAGCAAACAGG